Molecule: long non-coding RNA, 922 nt
Filed under: Salmo salar (Atlantic salmon)
Lineage: Eukaryota; Metazoa; Chordata; Actinopteri; Salmoniformes; Salmonidae
Description: lncRNA (ENSSSAG00000088788.1)
Source: RNAcentral
GUCUCACUCUGCUGGUAUUGAUGGCUGGUAAAGGUCUCACACUCUGCUGGUAUUGAUGGCUGGUAUAGGUCUCACACUCUGCUGGUAUUGAUGGAUGGUAUAGGUCUCACACUCUGCUGGUAUUGAUGGUUGGUAUAGGUCUCACUCUGCUGGUAUUGAUGGAUGGUAUAGGUCUCACUCUGCUGGUAUUGAUGGAUGGUAUAGGUCUCACUCUGCUGGUAUUGAUGGAUGGUAUAGGUCUCACUCUGCUGGUAUUGAUGGCUGGUAUAGGUCUCACUCUGCUGGUAUUGAUGGAUGGUAUAGGUCUCACUCUGCUGGUAUUGAUGGCUGGUAUAGGUCUCACUCUGCUGGUAUUGAUGGAUGGUAUAGGUAUCACACUGCUGGUAUUGAUGGAUGGUAUAGGUCACACUCUGCUGGUAUUGAUGGAUGGUAUAGGUCUCACACUCUGCUGGUAUUGAUGGAUGGUAUAGGUCUCACUCUGCUGGUAUUGAUGGAUGGUAUAGGUCUCACACUCUGCUGGUAUUGAUGGAUGGUAUAGGUCUCACACUCUGCUGGUAUUGAUGGAUGGUAUAGGUCUCACUCUGCUGGUAUUGAUGGAUGGUAUAGGUCUCACACUCUGCUGGUAUUGAUGGAUGGUAUAGGUCUCACACUCUGCUGGUAUUGAUGGAUGGUAUAGGUCUCACACUCUGCUGGUAUUGAUGGAUGGUAUAGGUCUCACUCUGCUGGUAUUGAUGGCUGGUAUAGGUCUCACACUCUGCUGGUAUUGAUGGAUGGUAUAGGUCUCACUCUGCUGGUAUUGAUGGAUGGUAUAGGUCUCACACUCUGCUGGUAUUGAUGGAUGGUAUAGGUCUCACUCUGCUGGUAUUGAUGGCUGGUAUAGGUCUCACACUCUGCUGGUAUUGAUGACUGGUAUAGGUCUCAC